This 245-nucleotide ribosomal RNA is filed under the name uncultured bacterium. RNAcentral's name for it is "partial 16S ribosomal RNA". It matches the Rfam family "Bacterial small subunit ribosomal RNA", at positions 57 to 305 of the family's 1533-position model. The record is from RNAcentral.
GCAAGUCGAACGAGAAAGCCCUUCGGGGUGAGUAGAGUGGCGCACGGGUGAGUAAUGCCUAGGAACGUACCUUUUGGUGGGGGAUAACCACGGGAAACUGUGGCUAAUACCGCAUGAUCUCGCAAGAGCAAAGAUGGCCUCUGCUUGCAAGCUAUCGCCUAAAGAGCGGCCUAGGUCCCAUUAGCUUGUUGGUAGGGUAAAGGCCUACCAAGGCUACGAUGGGUAGCUGGUCUGAGAGGAUGAUC